AUACGAACCGUACGAACGUUAUUCGGAAUCACUGGGCUUAAAGAGUGCGUAGGCGGCUUGGAAAGUUGGGUGUGAAAUCCCUCGGCUCAACCGAGGAAUAGCGCCCAAAACUGUCAAGUUUGAGGGAGAUAGAGGUAAGCGGAACUAAUGGUGGAGCGGUGAAAUGCGUUGAUAUCAUUAGGAACACCUGAGGCGAAAGCAGCUUACUGGGUCUCUUCUGACGCUGAGGCACGAAAGCUAGGGGAGCGAACGGGAUUAGAAACCCCGGUAGUCC
Molecule: ribosomal RNA, 274 nt
Filed under: uncultured bacterium
Lineage: Bacteria
Description: partial 16S ribosomal RNA
Rfam family: Bacterial small subunit ribosomal RNA
Source: RNAcentral